RNAcentral lists this ribosomal RNA (498 nucleotides) under uncultured bacterium. Its description in RNAcentral is "partial 16S ribosomal RNA". It matches the Rfam family "Bacterial small subunit ribosomal RNA", at positions 30 to 523 of the family's 1533-position model. The record is from RNAcentral.
AUUGAACGCUGGCGGCAUGCCUUACACAUGCAAGUCGAACGGUAACAGGUCUUCGGAUGCUGACGAGUGGCGAACGGGUGAGUAAUACAUCGGAACGUGCCUAGUAGUGGGGGAUAACUACUCGAAAGAGUGGCUAAUACCGCAUGAGAUCUACGGAUGAAAGCAGGGGAUCGCAAGACCUUGUGCUACUAGAGCGGCCGAUGGCAGAUUAGGUAGUUGGUGGGAUAAAAGCUUACCGAGCCGACGAUCUGUAGCUGGUCUGAGAGGACGAUCAGCCACACUGGGACUGAGACACGGCCCAGACUCCUACGGGAGGCAGCAGUGGGGAAUUUUGGACAAUGGGCGAAAGCCUGAUCCAGCAAUGCCGCGUGCAGGAUGAAGGCCUUCGGGUUGUAAACUGCUUUUGUACGGAACGAAAAGCCCCGGGUUAAUACCCCGGGGUCAUGACGGUACCGUAAGAAUAAGCACCGGCUAAUUACGUGCCAGCAGCCGCCGUAA